Long non-coding RNA from Notothenia coriiceps (black rockcod), 458 nucleotides. RefSeq lists it as uncharacterized. The transcript has 4 exons. The record is from RefSeq and is a predicted model, not a curated record. Lineage: Eukaryota; Metazoa; Chordata; Actinopteri; Perciformes; Nototheniidae.
GCAGCGUGGAUAAGCAGCAUGCGGUCGUCAACUAUGAGGCUGGGACAGACGAACACAAGGUCAAGGACCUGGGCAGCCUGAAUGGGACCUUUGUUAAUGAUGUCCGCAUCCAGGAGCAGAUGUACAUCACUCUGAAGUUGGAGGACAAGCUGCGGUUUGGAUAUGAUACCAAUUUGUUCACGGUGGUGAGAGGAGAGCUCACUGUGCCUGAGGAGGCUCUAAAGCAUGAAAAAUUCACCAGCAGCCUCCAGCUCAGCAAGAAACCGCCCAGCGUUGAAACCACUUACCACCACAACCACAAGCAAGUCCCCCAUUAAGACCCCAACAAAAACACCAAAGUCUCCCAGCAGCACCAGCACCCCGAAGCCAGCGGAGAGGAGGCCCACAGACGGGGUGACUUCCUCCAAAGAGCCAGCAGCUAAACCUGUGGACUCACACAAAGCAGAGGAGAGGUUAGC